AGUGAACGCUGGCGGUAGGCCUAGCACAUGCAAGUCGAACGGCAGCACAGGAGAGCUUGCUCUCUGGGUGGCGAGUGGCGGACGGGUGAGGAAUACAUCGGAAUCUACUCUGUCGUGGGGGAUAACGUAGGGAAACUUACGCUAACACCGCAUACGACCUACGGGUGAAAGCAGGGGAUCCUCGGACCUUGCGCGAUUGAAUGAGCCGAUGUCGGAUUAGCUAGUUGGCGGGGUAAAGGCCCACCAAGGCGACGAUCCGUAGCUGGUCUGAGGGGAUGAUCAGCCACACUGGAACUGAGACACGGUCCAGCCUCCUACGGGAGGCAGCAGUGGGGAAUAUUGGACAAUGGGCGCAAGCCUGAUCCAGCCAUACCGCGUGGGUGAAGAAGGCCUUCGGGUUGUAAAGCCCUUUUGUUGGGAAAGAAAUCCAGCUGGUUAAUACCCGGUUGGGAUGACGGUACCCAAAGAAUAAGCACCGGCUAACUUCGUGCCAGCCGCCGCCGUAA
This 506-nucleotide ribosomal RNA is filed under the name uncultured bacterium. RNAcentral's name for it is "partial 16S ribosomal RNA". It matches the Rfam family "Bacterial small subunit ribosomal RNA", at positions 29 to 523 of the family's 1533-position model. The record is from RNAcentral.